Molecule: transfer RNA, 130 nt
Filed under: Cercophora samala
Lineage: Eukaryota; Fungi; Ascomycota; Sordariomycetes; Sordariales; Lasiosphaeriaceae
Description: tRNA-OTHER
Rfam family: tRNA
About the family: Transfer RNA (tRNA) molecules are approximately 80 nucleotides in length.
Source: RNAcentral
GCCCGUGUGGUGCAGUGGUUAGCAUUCCAUGAGGAGUUGGCCCUUCGAAGCGUUUGGAUUUACAGAAAAAAACACAACACCCACAAAAACCGCUACUCAUGGGGCCCAGGUUCGAAUCCUGGCACGGGCA